This 253-nucleotide ribosomal RNA is filed under the name uncultured bacterium. Its description in RNAcentral is "partial 16S ribosomal RNA". It matches the Rfam family "Bacterial small subunit ribosomal RNA", at positions 524 to 776 of the family's 1533-position model. The record is from RNAcentral.
AACGGAAGGGGCUAACGCUGAUCGGAAUUACUGGGCGUAAAGAGCGCGUAGGCGGCUUAGAAAGUUGGGGGUGAAAUGCCGGAGCUCAACUCCGGAACUGCCUUCAAAACUGGUAGGCUCGAGUCCGGAAGAGGGGCGUGGAAUUGCCAGUGUAGAGGUGAAAUUCGUAGAUAUUGGGAAGAACCCCGGUGGCGAAGGCGGCGCCCUGGUCCGGUACUGACGCUGAGGCGCGAAAGCGUGGGGAGCAAACAGG